This 460-nucleotide ribosomal RNA is filed under the name uncultured bacterium. RNAcentral's name for it is "partial 16S ribosomal RNA". It matches the Rfam family "Bacterial small subunit ribosomal RNA", at positions 338 to 795 of the family's 1533-position model. The record is from RNAcentral.
CCUACGGGUGGCAGCAGUGAGGAAUAUUGGUCAAUGGGCGUAAGCCUGAACCAGCCAAGUCGCGUGAGGGAUGAAGGUUCUAUGGAUCGUAAACCUCUUUUAUAAGGGAAUAAAGUGUGGGACGUGUCCUGUUUUGUAUGUACCUUAUGAAUAAGGAUCGGCUAACUCCGUGCCAGCAGCCGCGGUAAUACGGAGGAUCCGAGCGUUAUCCGGAUUUAUUGGGUUUAAAGGGUGCGUAGGCGGCCUUUUAAGUCAGCGGUGAAAGUCUGUGGCUCAACCAUAGAAUUGCCGUUGAAACUGGGAGGCUUGAGUAUGUUUGAGGCAGGCGGAAGUCGUGGUGUAGCGGUGAAAUGCUUAGAUAUCACGCAGAACCCCGAUUGCGAAGGCGGCCUGCCAGGCCAUGACUGACGCUGAUGCACGAAGGCGUGGGGAUCAAACGGGAUUAGAUACCCCUGUAGUC